AAAUUGAAGAGUUUGAUCAUGGCUCAGAUUGAACGCUGGCGGCAGGCCUAACACAUGCAAGUCGAACGGUAACAGGAAGCAGCUUGCUGCUUUGCUGACGAGUGGCGGACGGGUGAGUAAUGUCUGGGAAACUGCCUGAUGGAGGGGGAUAACUACUGGAAACGGUAGCUAAUACCGCAUAACGUCGCAAGACCAAAGAGGGGGACCUUAGGGCCUCUUGCCAUCGGAUGUGCCCAGAUGGGAUUAGCUAGUAGGUGGGGUAAAGGCUCACCUAGGCGACGAUCCCUAGCUGGUCUGAGAGGAUGACCAGCCACACUGGAACUGAGACACGGUCCAGACUCCUACGGGAGGCAGCAGUGGGGAAUAUUGCACAAUGGGCGCAAGCCUGAUGCAGCCAUGCCGCGUGUAUGAAGAAGGCCUUCGGGUUGUAAAGUACUUUCAGCGGGGAGGAAGGGAGUAAAGUUAAUACCUUUGCUCAUUGACGUUACCCGCAGAAGAAGCACCGGCUAACUC
This 513-nucleotide ribosomal RNA is filed under the name Escherichia coli. RNAcentral describes it as "bacterial SSU rRNA". It matches the Rfam family "Bacterial small subunit ribosomal RNA", at positions 1 to 503 of the family's 1533-position model. The record is from RNAcentral. Lineage: Bacteria; Pseudomonadati; Pseudomonadota; Gammaproteobacteria; Enterobacterales; Enterobacteriaceae.